This 309-nucleotide ribosomal RNA is filed under the name uncultured bacterium. RNAcentral's name for it is "bacterial SSU rRNA". It matches the Rfam family "Bacterial small subunit ribosomal RNA", at positions 75 to 378 of the family's 1533-position model. The record is from RNAcentral.
UCUCUUCGGGGAUGAUUAACCGGCGCACGGGUGAGUAACACGUGAGUGACCUGCCUUUUAGACUGGAACAACUUACCGAAAGGUGAGCUAAUGCCGGAUGAGUUAUAUAAGUGCAUGUUUAUAUAGGAAAAGUUGGGGAGACCUGACGCUGAAAGAUGGACUCGCGUCCCAUUAGCUAGUUGGUAGGGUAAUGGCCUACCAAGGCGACGAUGGGUAGCCGGCCUGAGAGGGUGGCCGGCCACACUGGGACUGAGACACGGCCCAGACUCCUACGGGAGGCAGCAGUGGGGAAUUUUGCGCAAUGCUCGU